UGGGGAAUAUUGCACAAUGGGCGGAAGCCUGAUGCAGCAACGCCGCGUGCGGGAUGACGGCCUUCGGGUUGUAAACCGCUUUCGCCUGUGACGAAGCGUGAGUGACGGUAAUGGGUAAAGAAGCACCGGCUAACUACGUGCCAGCAGCCGCGGUGAUACGUAGGGUGCGAGCGUUGUCCGGAUUUAUUGGGCGUAAAGGGCUCGUAGGUGGUUGAUCGCGUCGGAAGUGUAAUCUUGGGGCUUAACCCUGAGCGUGCUUUCGAUACGGGUUGACUUGAGGAAGGUAGGGGAGAAUGGAAUUCCUGGUGGAGCGGUGGAAUGCGCAGAUAUCAGGAGGAACACCAGUGGCGAAGGCGGUUCUCUGGGCCUUUCCUGACGCUGAGGAGCGAAAGCGUGGGGAGCGAACAGGCUUAGAUACCCUGGUAGUCCACGCUGUAAACGGUGGGUACUAGGUGUGGGGUCCAUUCCACGGGUUCCGCGCCGUAGCUAACGCUUUAAGUACCCCGCCUGGGGAGUACGGCCGCAAGGCUAAAACUCAAAGGAA
This 544-nucleotide ribosomal RNA is filed under the name uncultured bacterium. RNAcentral's name for it is "partial 16S ribosomal RNA". It matches the Rfam family "Bacterial small subunit ribosomal RNA", at positions 355 to 909 of the family's 1533-position model. The record is from RNAcentral.